RNAcentral lists this ribosomal RNA (392 nucleotides) under uncultured bacterium. Its description in RNAcentral is "bacterial SSU rRNA". It matches the Rfam family "Bacterial small subunit ribosomal RNA", at positions 28 to 420 of the family's 1533-position model. The record is from RNAcentral.
AUUGAACGCUGGCGGCAUGCUUUACACAUGCAAGUCGAACGGCAGCGGGGGCUUCGGCCUGCCGGCGAGUGGCGAACGGGUGAGUAAUGCAUCGGAACGUGCCCAUGUCGUGGGGGAUAACGUAGCGAAAGCUACGCUAAUACCGCAUACGUCCUGAGGGAGAAAGCGGGGGAUCUUUGGACCUCGCGCGAUUGGAGCGGCCGAUGUCGGAUUAGCUAGUAGGUGAGGUAAAGGCUCACCUAGGCGACGAUCCGUAGCGGGUCUGAGAGGAUGAUCCGCCACACUGGGACUGAGACACGGCCCAGACUCCUACGGGAGGCAGCAGUGGGGAAUUUUGGACAAUGGGGGGCAACCCUGAUCCAGCCAUGCCGCGUGAGUGAAGAAGGCCUCGG